RNAcentral lists this transfer RNA (88 nucleotides) under archaeon. RNAcentral's name for it is "tRNA-Leu". It matches the Rfam family "tRNA". From Rfam's summary of the family: Transfer RNA (tRNA) molecules are approximately 80 nucleotides in length. Their secondary structure includes four short double-helical elements and three loops (D, anti-codon, and T loops). Further hydrogen bonds mediate the characteristic L-shaped molecular structure. tRNAs have two regions of fundamental functional importance: the anti-codon, which is responsible for specific mRNA codon recognition, and the 3' end, to which the tRNAs corresponding amino acid is attached (by aminoacyl-tRNA synthetases). tRNAs cope with the degeneracy of the genetic code in two manners: having more than one tRNA (with a specific anti-codon) for a particular amino acid; and 'wobble' base-pairing, i.e. permitting non-standard base-pairing at the 3rd anti-codon position. RNAcentral also lists the same sequence under 2 other names. The record is from RNAcentral.
GCGGGGGUGGCGGAGCCUGGCCAAACGCGCAGGACUUAAGAUCCUGUGCCGUAGGGCUGCGCGGGUUCAAAUCCCGCCCCCCGCACCA